RNAcentral lists this long non-coding RNA (385 nucleotides) under Homo sapiens (human). RNAcentral describes it as "HSALNT0356486". Lineage: Eukaryota; Metazoa; Chordata; Mammalia; Primates; Hominidae. The record is from RNAcentral.
GACAUCAAAGCUUUAGGUACUGAGAGAGGAUACUUCCUACUGUGGAAGGGAAGAAAAGAAAAAAGCAAAGCUACUUCUUGGAAGAGCAGUGGAGAGAAAAAUAUUGUUUCUUUUUCUUGGGAAAUUGGCAGAGGCAUGCUGAAGAAAUCAGCUACAGCUGUUCUCCACACCUGGAUAAAUUUUUAAUAAGAACUUAACACACCCGCCCUCCAGAAAGGGUGGUCUGAGGUGUCGAUGGUGUUGUCUCUCCCAGGGCUCUUCUGGGCAGCCUUCUCUGUGACCUGGAGAGCGAAGAGUCUAUUUCCAUCACAUUUCAGCUGCCAAACUCCCCUUUAAACCUGGCACCAUACUAUUGAUGACCAGGGGACCCACAGGGACAGCUAGC